This 253-nucleotide ribosomal RNA is filed under the name uncultured bacterium. RNAcentral's name for it is "partial 16S ribosomal RNA". It matches the Rfam family "Bacterial small subunit ribosomal RNA", at positions 524 to 776 of the family's 1533-position model. The record is from RNAcentral.
GACGAAGGGGGCUAGCGUUGUUCGGAAUUACUGGGCGUAAAGCGCGUGUAGGCGGUUGUUCAAGUCAGGUGUGAAAGCCUUGAGCUCAACUCAAGAAAUGCACUUGAUACUGGAUGACUAGAGGACCGGAGAGGAUAGUGGAAUUCCCAGUGUAGUGGUGAAAUACGUAGAGAUUGGGAAGAACACCAGUGGCGAAGGCGGCUAUCUGGACGGUUUCUGACGCUAAGACGCGAAGGCGUGGGGAGCAAACAGG